Molecule: ribosomal RNA, 441 nt
Filed under: uncultured Paracoccaceae bacterium
Lineage: Bacteria; Pseudomonadati; Pseudomonadota; Alphaproteobacteria; Rhodobacterales; Paracoccaceae
Description: bacterial SSU rRNA
Rfam family: Bacterial small subunit ribosomal RNA
Source: RNAcentral
UCCUACGGGCGGCAGCAGUGGGGAAUCUUAGACAAUGGGCGCAAGCCUGAUCUAGCCAUGCCGCGUGAGUGAUGAAGGCCUUAGGGUCGUAAAGCUCUUUCGCCAGAGAUGAUAAUGACAGUAUCUGGUAAAGAAACCCCGGCUAACUCCGUGCCAGCAGCCGCGGUAAUACGGAGGGGGUUAGCGUUGUUCGGAAUUACUGGGCGUAAAGCGCACGUAGGCGGAUCAGAAAGUUGGGGGUGAAAUCCCAGGGCUCAACCCUGGAACGGCCUCCAAAACUCCUGGUCUUGAGUUCGAGAGAGGUGAGUGGAAUUCCGAGUGUAGAGGUGAAAUUCGUAGAUAUUCGGAGGAACACCAGUGGCGAAGGCGGCUCACUGGCUCGAUACUGACGCUGAGGUGCGAAAGUGUGGGGAGCAAACAGGAUUAGAUACCCUUGUAGUC